AUCGCUGCUCAGCCUUUUGGCUAAGAUCAAGUGUAGUAUCUGUUCUUAACAACUUGGGAGACAUGGCUCUCAGUGAGUCCAGUCUGUGACCCAGU
This 95-nucleotide small nuclear RNA is filed under the name Canis lupus familiaris (dog). RNAcentral's name for it is "U2 spliceosomal RNA (ENSCAFG00000028416.3)". It matches the Rfam family "U2 spliceosomal RNA". From Rfam's summary of the family: U2 is a small nuclear RNA (snRNA) component of the spliceosome (involved in pre-mRNA splicing). Complementary binding between U2 snRNA (in an area lying towards the 5' end but 3' to hairpin I) and the branchpoint sequence (BPS) of the intron results the bulging out of an unpaired adenosine, on the BPS, which initiates a nucleophilic attack at the intronic 5' splice site, thus starting the first of two transesterification reactions that mediate splicing. Lineage: Eukaryota; Metazoa; Chordata; Mammalia; Carnivora; Canidae. The record is from RNAcentral.